UCAACCCUCAGGCCCUGCCUGGCGUUGGAGGACUGCGCACGCAGCCUCCCAAAGCGAGCGGCGGCGGCGCCCCGAGACCGAACGCAGUAGUUACCUCUCGUUCUGGGUCCGGGUCGUUGUCCUGCCGGAAAACCCCCAUCUCAUCAAUGG
Molecule: non-coding RNA, 150 nt
Filed under: uncultured Chaetosphaeriaceae
Lineage: Eukaryota; Fungi; Ascomycota; Sordariomycetes; Chaetosphaeriales; Chaetosphaeriaceae
Source: RNAcentral